Talpa occidentalis (Iberian mole) is the source of this 1214-nucleotide long non-coding RNA. RefSeq lists it as uncharacterized. The record is from RefSeq and is a predicted model, not a curated record. The transcript is spliced from 4 exons. Lineage: Eukaryota; Metazoa; Chordata; Mammalia; Eulipotyphla; Talpidae.
UGGUGGGGACUCCCAGCUCUAGGAGCUGGUCACUCAGCUUCAAACAAAUCUGCAUCACACUGGGAGUUUCCACCCCUUUUUCUAUGUCAAUGAUUCCCAUUUGUCCCUAGUGCCUGGGGUUUCAGGUCCUGUUUGGUGGUGAAUGCUGAGGCUUUGCUGGCCUUUCAUUUCUGCCACUUAAGCUCUUUCUAAAGAACUGGGACUCAAACAUCAAUUCUAUGAUGUUUCUGGCGGCCGAGCUGCAGCAAAAACUCUCCAGAGAACCAUGUUUACAGCUGUGACCAUUCAUGAUCUUAACAAUAGGAAUCAACGAUCCAAAAACAACUUAUACGGUGCUUAACACACAAAUGGGCUGGCAUCCUAGAGGAGUUCAGAGAAAUAAUGUUUGAAGGGCCUGUGGUAAGGAAUAAUUUAUUUUGCUAAAGUGAACUAGACCGUCUCCAAAAUCUUGCAGGAACAAACUACUUGCUUGGCAAUUUGACAAAAAUUCUUUAAAGAGUUAUGCAAAUACAUCUUGGCUCUCCUAACAGCAAAGAAGAUUUUCCAAAUCGCUACCAAAUCUUCAAGGAAUCCAAAAGACACAGAGAAGAGAGCAGAGGCCUUACACUCACCUGCUGAUGCAGUCUCCUGUGAGGGGGUCGCAGUUGCCCGCGCAGUCACAGGGCCUGCAGCCGUAGUCUCCGAAGCCCCAGUAUCCCACCAUACACCUGUCACAGUGUGGCCCUGCCACCCCAGGCUUGCAAGGGCAGUCACCAUUGCUGGGGUCACAGAAGGUCACUGAGCUGAAAGGAAGGACAGCUGAUCCAACUGGAUGGCAGGAACACACUACAACAAAGAGGACACACAAGCACCCAUGAGCAACUGGAUUAUCUAUGUGGAGAUGAGGCCCAGCCGUCCCCAAAUGGCUUCCCUGCACCACCUAGCAUUCCUCCGAGGCUCCUUCUUUAUCCAUUUGGCAUAAUGCUCCGAGAAUAAAAGCUAAUGAAGUUAAAGAUAAGAAGAUAUAAUCAGAAAGUCCUGUCUGUUGCAAAAUGAGCCACAUAAUUUAUUCUAAGAUUAAAGUCACUAAAUAUGAAUGACUUUUGGUUGAAGGUGAUAAGAAUGAAUCAGCAAAGAAGACAAAGAAGGAACAGUUUUGGGAAAGGAAAAAAAGUAAUGAGAAUACAGUGUUCUGGAAGGCAAAGUUCCACCCUCCCCACCCCCCCAACCCCCCC